Molecule: ribosomal RNA, 428 nt
Filed under: Fusobacteria bacterium oral taxon 220
Lineage: Bacteria; Fusobacteriati; Fusobacteriota
Description: bacterial SSU rRNA
Rfam family: Bacterial small subunit ribosomal RNA
Source: RNAcentral
GAUGAACGCUGACAGAAUGCUUAACACAUGCAAGUCUACUUGAAUUUGGGUUUUUAACUUAGGUUUGGGUGGCGGACGGGUGAGUAACGCGUAAAGAACUUGCCUCACAGCUAGGGACAACAUUUAGAAAUGAAUGCUAAUACCUAAUAUUAUGAUAAUAGGGCAUCCUAUAAUUAUGAAAGCUAUAUGCGCUGUGAGAGAGCUUUGCGUCCUAUUAGCUAGUUGGUAAGGUAAAGGCUUACCAAGGCGAUGAUAGGUAGCCGGCCUGAGAGGGUGGACGGCCACAAGGGGACUGAGAUACGGCCCUUACUCCUACGGGAGGCAGCAGUGGGGAAUAUUGGACAAUGGAGGAAACUCUGAUCCAGCAAUUCUGUGUGUGUGAAGAAGGUCUUCGGAUUGUAAAACACUUUUAGUUGGGAAGAAACAAA